CCCAGAGCAGGAAGAGGAGGAGGAAGGCUCCGGGAUGAAGGCCGGGGGAGGCGGCAGCGGGCCUCCAGAGCGCCCGGUCCUGCUGGAGCAGAGCCACUCUCUGCUGCGGUCCCAUCCAUUUGAGGUGAUCGCUACCUGGAGCGCGGUCAGCUCGCCUCAUUAUUGUGCAAAUUGCUGGGAAUGCAAAUCGGGUGCACCUGGGGACCGGGGUGUUUGGAGGCAACUUUAAUUGUGGUGACAACAGACGACAUCUCGCCAGCAGCCGGUGGCAGCGGCCAGUCCGGCGCCGCACAUCCAACUGCGUCUGCAACGCUGAUGAAUGUCCGCUGCAAUUAACAACCCUGCCCAUGUGGUGCCCCCCGCCAGAGCGGCCAGGCAUCCCCCCAAGCAUCCCUUCGGUGAGGGAGGGGCCACCCACUCGGGGCAGGGAAGGCAGAGCCCCCGCAUUCCCCUGGAGCAGCCCCCAGCCCCCACGCAAGUUGCGAUGCCACCGGCCAGCAGCCCCUGCCUCAUCCAUAACCAGCUCCCUGCCCACACCUGACCUCUUACUAUAGCAAAGUUCACACCAAUUUUCCUUCCCCUCAUUUGUCUGUAAACCAUGAAGAAAAAUCACCACCAUCCACCCGCAUCAGGCCACCGCGGUGAUGUAUGGCUGUAAUAAAAACCCCAUUUGGGGAGGCCACCUUCCCCAUGCCGCCAGCCCGUGUGACAUGCAUGGCACAGGGCUGGGGCUGCCAGCGCCCGUGGGCAGCCAGCGCCAGCCUGGCCCCCCCACACUUCCAUCUUGGUCUCGCUGCAGCUGGCGGCCGUGACCAGGAGCUGCCGGAGCCAUUAUGGAGCCGCAGCAUCUGCACCAUGUUCAGGCAGUUGGUGCCAUUAGCACCUGAGAACAGGAUCGUGGGGACUGGAGGGGGCAGCAUCCUGCCUGGGCCGGGCACCCUUCAAACUUGGGGUCAGACCUGGGACCACACACUGCAGCCCUGCCUGAGUUCCCUGUGCAGCCCCACUGGCUCCAGAAGAAUGGGGUGCUGGGGACAGGGAGACAAGGACAGGGAGAUGGGGGUCUGGGAUCCCUCCCUUCGUGCCUGCCUCACACAGGGGCUUUCAUCUCUGCAGCAGCCACGCUGCUGGCUCAGGGCUGAGCAGAAGCAGGUGGGGAGGGAGCUGAAUAAUAAAUUGGCAUUUUCAAGA
Molecule: long non-coding RNA, 1191 nt
Organism: Columba livia (rock pigeon)
Lineage: Eukaryota; Metazoa; Chordata; Aves; Columbiformes; Columbidae
Exons: 2
Source: RefSeq, a predicted model, not a curated record